CUUAUAUUAUUAGAGGGCAGAAGGAAUCCCCAACUACCACUGUGAAUGGGAAAUAGUUCAGUUCAGUAUACAGUAAAGUAGUUAGAAACUAUGACCACAUCUGUACUUUGCCACUCUAACCUCUACAAUUAAUCGCGAUCCACUCUCAUUAGAGGGAAAGCUAGUACCAUUCACAGGGAUUGGUUUACAAUUUCAAUCAUAUUUAGUUACCCCUCGAUGAUAACGAUCAAAUGGAUUUCAGUGUUUAUUUGACGUUCUUAACAAUCAUAGUCUCAAUCAGAGUUCAACAAAAUUUCACUUUGACCCAUUGGAUCCAUCAAACUGGUCCUUAAACCUAUCAAUUUCCCAACUUCAUAAAUUACCUCAUUUAGAUCAUUGUGACUUAAUUACCAAACCUGGACCAAACGAGGCCCAUUAAACAAACCUAGACCUAUUGAGGUUCAGUAACUGACCCUGCCCACUAAGGGCCCACUUAUAAU
This 479-nucleotide long non-coding RNA is filed under the name Carica papaya (papaya). RNAcentral's name for it is "long non-coding RNA (CPAP_LNC011539)". The record is from RNAcentral. Lineage: Eukaryota; Viridiplantae; Streptophyta; Magnoliopsida; Brassicales; Caricaceae.